GGGGGUGAUCGGCUUAGACACAUGGAUUUCGCGUUGUAGCAUGCACGUCGAGCAUGUUCGUACACUCGUUAAACGUCGAACAACCACAAGUGCAAACGCACGUGGCGUAGUGUCGCCUUACAGCGGCCUCGCCUUCGCUCGCGCCUAACUGCGAGCUGCUCUUUUAAUGCAUUCUCGUAUGCAUUAGUUGAGUACAAUACCCUUACGAGAUAGGUAACCGCACUGACCGCGCGUGUUACUAAAACAAAGGUCUGCUACAUAACAGGGUUUCGCUUUUCUUUUAACCUGUUAUGUCUAAGACCAUAAGAGAAGCCAAACGUGUAGAAGUGCUACAGCUCGCCAUGAUGGACGCGGGUUCGAUUCCCGCCAUCUCCACAA
Molecule: transfer-messenger RNA, 378 nt
Filed under: bacterium
Lineage: Bacteria
Rfam family: transfer-messenger RNA
About the family: Bacterial tmRNA, also known as 10Sa RNA or SsrA, is named for its dual tRNA and mRNA-like properties.
Source: RNAcentral